ACUUUACUUCAGAAAACAAAAUGUAGUGCUGCUUCUGCUUGGAGAUUAAAGACAACUGUACAGCAGAUUGUGACAUGAAAGAGCCCCUUGGGGCUGCAGUAGCACCCUGGCGUUUCUCUGGAUGUGUCUGGUUUGGGGUCUGAGCACUGAGUUUUAGAAUGGUGACUGGUUCUGUAAAAUGAACACUAUGCUGGGAGUCCAGGCGUCCUGGCCUCAUAGCUCCCCGACCUCCAGCAAAUCCAAAUUGCUGAUUUUUUCUGUACCUUAUUUCUUCCUGAGUUUAGACCUGGCGGGAAUCCUUAGAGAUCAUCUUCUCCAUCCCUCUUAAAUUUACAGAUGAGUAAACUGAAACCCAGAAAGGCUCUUCUGUUAAAACGCUGCUCCAGAGCGACUGCCAUGAUGCAGGAGUGAGGUCCGCUUACGUGGACCACAAGGCUAAAGCUCUCUUCCCAUACAGCCGUGCUGAGGACCCCCAAGCGAGGCUUGUAGACAGAUGUCCCGUCAUCUUGUCUCCAAUUUUUCUCACCUUUGAGGCCUUCAGAUAUAUUUUAAUGGAAUAUAUUUUAAUGAAAAAUUCCUCCAUUUAAAUUAAAAUGAACAUCUAGUAACUUU
Molecule: long non-coding RNA, 612 nt
Organism: Myotis davidii
Lineage: Eukaryota; Metazoa; Chordata; Mammalia; Chiroptera; Vespertilionidae
Exons: 2
Source: RefSeq, a predicted model, not a curated record